UACGUAGGGUGCAAGCGUUGUCCGGAAUUAUUGGGCGUAAAGAGCUCGUAGGCGGUCUGUCGCGUCGGCUGUGAAAACCCAGGGCUCAACCCUGGGCCUGCAGUCGAUACGGGCAGACUAGAGUCCGGCAGGGGAGACUGGAAUUCCUGGUGUAGCGGUGAAAUGCGCAGAUAUCAGGAGGAACACCGGUGGCGAAGGCGGGUCUCUGGACAGUUCCUGACGCUGAGGCACGAAGGUCAGGGGAGCAAACGGG
RNAcentral lists this ribosomal RNA (253 nucleotides) under uncultured bacterium. Its description in RNAcentral is "partial 16S ribosomal RNA". It matches the Rfam family "Bacterial small subunit ribosomal RNA", at positions 524 to 776 of the family's 1533-position model. The record is from RNAcentral.